UUCCGUAAAGGUGCAUGAGUGGUGUUUGGUUUGUUACGGAUGGUUGGAUGUCUGCCUGUGCAGCAACUUCCAUGCGGGCUUACCUCUUCAAUUGUGCUACAAGACUUGUUUGGCUUGCAGCAUUCGGUGGGUUUCUUGUGUUGCUUACCUAGUCGAUGGCAUUGUUUGUCCCUAUAAGUUGCAUUUUGUAACACGCUGCUUGCGGCGUGAUACAAACAAUGAAGCAACCUUUGUUGUUCAACCUGUUGCUGCUCAUGCAUCGACGGCUUGGCCCAUGAAGUGUUGAUUGGUCCCUUGGAUAUGGAACAUGAUGCGGGCACAAGUUCGUCAUAGAUCUUGUAUUUGCCCUUAUCGAGUGAUUUAGCUUCUUUAAAUGACCGUCGUCCAUGUAUCGACAAGUCG
This 402-nucleotide unclassified non-coding RNA is filed under the name Tragopogon acanthocarpus. Its description in RNAcentral is "partial external transcribed spacer". The record is from RNAcentral. Lineage: Eukaryota; Viridiplantae; Streptophyta; Magnoliopsida; Asterales; Asteraceae.